Gossypium raimondii (Peruvian cotton) is the source of this 662-nucleotide long non-coding RNA. RefSeq lists it as uncharacterized. Lineage: Eukaryota; Viridiplantae; Streptophyta; Magnoliopsida; Malvales; Malvaceae. The record is from RefSeq and is a predicted model, not a curated record. The transcript has 4 exons.
CAGGAGUGGCCCAUGAGAAAACAAAUUUUAAAAAAAGAAAUCAAAAUCAAUAGCUGGACACCACAUCACCAUCUCAGCUUUUGAUGAUUACAGAUUUCAAAAAAUCUAUCUUCUGCUAUCGAUUUACCAUGAAGGUCUUCCUUAUUCAUAUCAGUCUGGUUGUCUCGGCCGCCAUUUCUCCUGUUCGCGACGAACAUAGUCUGGAACACCACCCAACAGAUUGACCAUAGUCCAUAGCAAAAAAGACGACACUGUUCACUAGUCCCCCGACUAAAAACCCAGGGCAAUGCUGGAAAAUGUGAUUACUGUCUUCCUCAGAGUUACGACAUCGGGGACAAUAAAUUUCCACAGCCACUUUUUUAUGCUUGAGAUUAGUUAAAGUAGGGAUGUAAUUCCAAGAGAUUCUCCAUACUGUAAUUUUAACUUUUUAAGGAAUAUGUAAAUUCCAUAGUUUCCUGUGAAAAUCUUUAAUCUCGGUCUGUAUAAGAUUAUUCCUAGGACCCGAAUUAGCCUCAUGUAAUAGUUUAUAGGCACUUCUGACUGAGAAAUCGCUUGAAGGUUCUCCUCUCCACACUUGGAAGUUGUCGUGUACUAUCUCUGCCAAAGGGAUCUAUAGAAUAUUCUUUGCAGUAUCCGCAUUAAAGAAAUUCAAUCCCCCAUGC